RNAcentral lists this long non-coding RNA (219 nucleotides) under Elaeis guineensis (African oil palm). RNAcentral describes it as "long non-coding RNA (EGUI_LNC017103)". The record is from RNAcentral. Lineage: Eukaryota; Viridiplantae; Streptophyta; Magnoliopsida; Arecales; Arecaceae.
AUGGUCCACUUCAGCACCAGUCGAAAAUCACCGCAAACCUCGGACAGUCUUUUCUUCCUCAAAUAGGGAGAAAACGAGAUGCUUCGAUACUUUGUGGCCCGAUUCAACGCGGCCAUACUUGAGGUCUAGGACCUCAACGAAGACAUGGCUAUCUCAGCCAUGAAGAGGAGACUAAGGGGGUCCCGAUUCAUCUAUUCCUUGGACAAGACCCUCCCCCGG